RNAcentral lists this non-coding RNA (176 nucleotides) under Terrisporobacter glycolicus. The record is from RNAcentral. Lineage: Bacteria; Bacillati; Bacillota; Clostridia; Peptostreptococcales; Peptostreptococcaceae.
UAUAGAUUUAGGUUCUUAUUAAAGAUUAAUAGGGAAAGAGGUGAAAUUCCUCUACAGCCCCCGUUACUGUAAUGUGGACGAAACUCAAUAUACCACUGUAAAAAUGAGCGAAGCGAGUUUUUUAUGGGAAGGAGAGGAGUAGGUUGAUACUAAGUCAGGAGACCUGCCUAAAUUAA